UUUAAUCCAUUUAUUAAACAAAUUAAAUUAAAUUAAAUGAAUUAAAUAAAUUAAAUAGAUUAAAUGAAUUAAAUAAAUCUGAUUAAAUGGAUCAGAAAUAUAUUAAACAAGUUUUAAACAGAUCUUAAACAGAUUAAAUAUGUUAAAUGAGUUAAACAUGUUAUUCGACUCAGCCCAAUCGAAAUAUUAAAUAGGUUAAAUAAAUUAAAUGGA
Molecule: long non-coding RNA, 213 nt
Filed under: Elaeis guineensis (African oil palm)
Lineage: Eukaryota; Viridiplantae; Streptophyta; Magnoliopsida; Arecales; Arecaceae
Description: long non-coding RNA (EGUI_LNC004401)
Source: RNAcentral